RNAcentral lists this ribosomal RNA (415 nucleotides) under uncultured bacterium. Its description in RNAcentral is "bacterial SSU rRNA". It matches the Rfam family "Bacterial small subunit ribosomal RNA", at positions 29 to 487 of the family's 1533-position model. The record is from RNAcentral.
AGCGAACGCUGGCGGCAGGCUUAACACAUGCAAGUCGAGCGGGCGUAGCAAUACGUCAGCGGCAGACGGGUGAGUAACGCGUGGGAACGUACCUUUUGGUUCGGAACAACACAGGGAAACUUGUGCUAAUACCGGAUAAGCCCUUACGGGGAAAGAUUUAUCGCCGAAAGAUCGGCCCGCGUCUGAUUAGCUAGUUGGUGUGGUAACGGCGCACCAAGGCGACGAUCAGUAGCUGGUCUGAGAGGAUGAUCAGCCACAUUGGGACUGAGACACGGCCCAAACUCCUACGGGAGGCAGCAGUGGGGAAUAUUGGACAAUGGGCGCAAGCCUGAUCCAGCCAUGCCGCGUGAGUGAUGAAGGCCCUAGGGUUGUAAAGCUCUUUUGUGCGGGAAGAUAAUGACGGUACCGCAAGAAU